CCUACGGGAGGCUGCAGUGAGGAAUAUUGGUCAAUGGACGAGAGUCUGAACCAGCCAAGUAGCGUGAAGGAUGACUGCCCUAUGGGUUGUAAACUUCUUUUAUAUGGGAAUAAAAUGGUCCACGAGUGGGAUUUUGUAUGUACCAUAUGAAUAAGGAUCGGCUAACUCCGUGCCAGCAGCAGCGGUAAUACGGUGGAUCCGAGCGUUAUCCGGCUUUAUUGGGUUUAAAGGGAACGUAAGUGGAUUGUUAAGUCAGUUGUGAAAGUUUGCGGCUCAACCGUAAAAUUGCAGUUGAAACUGGCAGUCUUGAGUACAGUAGAGGUGGGCGGAAUUCGUGGUGUAGCGGUGAAAGGCUUAGAUAUCACGAAGAACUCCGAUUGCGAAGGCAGCUCACUGGACUGCAACUGACACUGAGGCUCGAAAGUGUGGGUAUCAAACAGGAUUAGCUACCCCUGUAGUC
This 460-nucleotide ribosomal RNA is filed under the name uncultured bacterium. RNAcentral's name for it is "partial 16S ribosomal RNA". It matches the Rfam family "Bacterial small subunit ribosomal RNA", at positions 338 to 795 of the family's 1533-position model. The record is from RNAcentral.